RNAcentral lists this ribosomal RNA (377 nucleotides) under Salmonella enterica subsp. enterica serovar Durham. RNAcentral's name for it is "partial 23S ribosomal RNA". It matches the Rfam family "Bacterial large subunit ribosomal RNA", at positions 2434 to 2810 of the family's 2925-position model. The record is from RNAcentral. Lineage: Bacteria; Pseudomonadati; Pseudomonadota; Gammaproteobacteria; Enterobacterales; Enterobacteriaceae.
UGGAAGGGCCAUCGCUCAACGGAUAAAAGGUACUCCGGGGAUAACAGGCUGAUACCGCCCAAGAGUUCAUAUCGACGGCGGUGUUUGGCACCUCGAUGUCGGCUCAUCACAUCCUGGGGCUGAAGUAGGUCCCAAGGGUAUGGCUGUUCGCCAUUUAAAGUGGUACGCGAGCUGGGUUUAGAACGUCGUGAGACAGUUCGGUCCCUAUCUGCCGUGGGCGCUGGAGAACUGAGGGGGGCUGCUCCUAGUACGAGAGGACCGGAGUGGACGCAUCACUGGUGUUCGGGUUGUCAUGCCAAUGGCACUGCCCGGUAGCUAAAUGCGGAAGAGAUAAGUGCUGAAAGCAUCUAAGCACGAAACUUGCCCCGAGAUGAGUU